AGGCUGAGAAUCGCUUGAGAGGACUUAUGGGCCUUUUCCUUGAAGGAAAAGAUGGCACUUGGAACUUGGCCGGUGGAAGCAUCAUUCAGAUAUGAUUCAUUACAGGUAAGAGAAAGAAGACAGGAAUCUGCAGAAGAAAUCUUCCCAUAAGUCUGAUAUUUCUGGAAAAGGGGACAGAGUUGUCUGCUCUUUGUGACUUAGACUGGGCCAGUGCCGAAAUCACAAGUCCACAGAGUAUGCCUGAAGGAAGAUGGUUCUCAAUGCACCCACUGGGAAAAUGCACUCAUCCUCAAAUGACUGAGGCCGUUGUUUCCUUGCCUUUUAAGAUCUCAUCCCAGGAGGGAUUCUUCUCACUUUCUUUCAGUCCUGAACUCAGAGGAUUGUGCUGCUUAGGGAAGCCACCUCAUUAGGACAACUCAUUUUCCCUUCUCUCUAGUAGAGGUUACUGCCACAAGCUGAACACAGUGAAAAAUAAACUGUGAACUUGAAGAGGGAGGAGGGAAGGUGGAGGUGUUUAUCUCAAGCUUAAGAGAAGUUCUGCAAAAGGCGUUUUUUAGUUUGCCCAGUUUCAUUUCUUUAAUCCCUGGUUUCUCUGUGGUUUUGCUGUAUGCUUGCCCAGACACGUCACAUGCACCAGCCUUAUAACUAGAAAAGUCUCUGGCCUCACAAGAAGAGGGAGAUCUCCCUGAAAAUAAUCUCCGAAGGGUUGGUCUGGAGCAGGAAAUGAGAGUGAAAGGCACAUCUGUAGGAGGGGUUCCGCUUGCUCACACUCGGAAUGUGCUCGCCCUCUCCUCCUCUCUUUGAUGACAGGAAGUGCACAUACUCCAAGCUCCAUUUCCUCAAUGUCCCAGGUGAAAUUAUCCCCGGAGAGAGGGAUAACCCUAACUAUUAAAAAGAUGUAUGCUUGAUUCAAUGUUCCAAAUAAUAUUCAGCACAAACGAAUCUCUGGACACCUAAGCUGUAAUAGACCAUGAGAUUUGGAAGAGGAUGAGGAAGAGUACUAUCCAAGGAACCGGCUAUCAUCACAAAUUCUGCAGACUCAGACACCUCUCGACAGCAUGUCUCCAACAACCCCGCCCCCCAUUCAGAGCCACUCUUCCGGAAAUCAACUCACAGUUCACCUCCUGUCUAAAUUCUGGUGUAGAAAUGGAAACCUCUUGUAAGAUGUCAUAGAUAUUUUGGCUGAAUCAUCAGCAGAAGUUCUUGUCCAUCCCUUAGACUUAGGAUGGCCUGGUUAGUAUGGUUUGAUGGGACAAAGCUUGAAUACCAUGACCAGAAGCAUUUCUGUGUUCUCCUGUCUAAGGGUAUUUGUUAUGUCUCAGGAAAGCUGGAUGACUAUCUCAUUCUCUGAUGAUGGAGAAGAAUACUCACAACCUGCUCCCCACCUCCCACUGUGAAAUGCCAAUAUGGUGGAAACAGAAGGGAGAAGAAAGAACAGCGGAGACACUGAUCAUUCGAAACCAAAGAAGCAGCUCAUGCAUAAUGGAGAGCUAUCUGCAUGCAAAUUGCUAGGAGUACUUCCUACUUUUCUGGGAUAUUGUAUUUAGCCCUCUGUACUCUAUUCAGAAGAGUUCUGUUCCCCAGGCCAAGAAGGUAAAAUGUGGAUUGUACUUGAAUAGUCUUGUGAAUGAAAAAUGGCUAAAUUCUUUUUAUUAAGUGGAAUAAUCAAACUGGCAGAGUAAUUUCCCUAAAUUUAAAUUCCCAUUACAGAGAAAAGACACACUCUUGCCCACUUAUGGCCUCUGUUCUUUAUCACAUGCUUUCUCCCUAGCUGCAGAAGCCUAGAAGAACCUUGUUCAAUGGAUUGUCACAGAGAGAGCCGAAGGCAUGGCCACAGAAAGUAGGGCACAGGGAGAAGCUAACUCCCUAAUUUCUUUUUCUUUUUUCAGUUGAGAUAUACAUGAUGCUUUCUUGAUCUUUUGCUCUGUUUCCACCAGUU
Molecule: long non-coding RNA, 1939 nt
Organism: Homo sapiens (human)
Lineage: Eukaryota; Metazoa; Chordata; Mammalia; Primates; Hominidae
Product: long intergenic non-protein coding RNA 1416
Source: Ensembl